This 273-nucleotide ribosomal RNA is filed under the name uncultured prokaryote. RNAcentral describes it as "partial 16S ribosomal RNA". It matches the Rfam family "Bacterial small subunit ribosomal RNA", at positions 524 to 798 of the family's 1533-position model. The record is from RNAcentral.
UACGUAGGGGCGAGCGUUGUCCGGAUUUAUUGGGCGUAAAGGGUUCGCAGGCGGCCUUAUAAGUCAGAUGUGAAAUCCCAUGGCUUAACCAUGGUAAGCAUUUGAAACUGAAAGGCUUGAGUUAAGGAGAGGAAAGUGGAAUUCCUAGUGUAGCGGUGAAAUGCGUAGAUAUUCGGAGGAACACCAGUUGCGAAGGCGGCUCUCUGGACUGUAACUGACACUGAGGCACGAAAGCGUGGGGAGCAAACAGGAUUAGAUACCCUGGUAGUCCCU